RNAcentral lists this non-coding RNA (29 nucleotides) under Homo sapiens (human). The record is from RNAcentral. Lineage: Eukaryota; Metazoa; Chordata; Mammalia; Primates; Hominidae.
UAUCAAUAAAAGAGAUUGUCCAGGUGGUC